GUGUCAGCCGCCGCGGUAAUACGGAGGGAGCUAGCGUUGUUCGGAAUUACUGGGCGUAAAGCGCACGUAGGCGGCGAUUCAAGUCAGAGGUGAAAGCCCGGGGCUCAACCCCGGAACUGCCUUUGAAACUAGAUUGCUAGAAUCCUGGAGAGGCGAGUGGAAUUCCGAGUGUAGAGGUGAAAUUCGUAGAUAUUCGGAAGAACACCAGUGGCGAAGGCGACUCGCUGGACAGGUAUUGACGCUGAGGUGCGAAAGCGUGGGGAGCAAACAGGAUUAGAAACCCUAGUAGUCC
This 292-nucleotide ribosomal RNA is filed under the name uncultured Altererythrobacter sp. Its description in RNAcentral is "partial 16S ribosomal RNA". It matches the Rfam family "Bacterial small subunit ribosomal RNA", at positions 505 to 796 of the family's 1533-position model. Lineage: Bacteria; Pseudomonadati; Pseudomonadota; Alphaproteobacteria; Sphingomonadales; Erythrobacteraceae. The record is from RNAcentral.